This 1483-nucleotide long non-coding RNA is filed under the name Malus domestica (apple). RNAcentral's name for it is "long non-coding RNA (MDOM_LNC011190)". Lineage: Eukaryota; Viridiplantae; Streptophyta; Magnoliopsida; Rosales; Rosaceae. The record is from RNAcentral.
AUUUGGUUGUAAUGCGUAUUCCAUUCAAUCCAAUGAAUCUAGGGAAAUCUAAGAGUUAAUUUAAGCGGACCUAAUUAACUUGGAACAUUGUCAUUCACAAUUUAUUGAAAGAACAACUGAAAAUCAAUUUAGGUUGCAUAUGUGUCAUGUGUGGAGAAGAACCCUCUAGCUAGUCUGUCACCUAUCCUUUCACCUUAAUUUCAUGCUUUUGUCAAUUCUGUAAUUUAUUUAAGUUUAAUUUACUUCUCGUCAAAACCAAACCCCCCCAUUAUUAAAUAUUAUUUUUUAGUUAGUUUUCAUUGUGUUAGUCUUUUAAUUCAAUUUCCGUCCAUUUCAGUUCUUAGUGUCUAAUUUGAUUGUUUUCAUUAUUUUGAGUCAUUCUAAGUGUGUUUCGAGUUAUUAGAGUUUUUAGCCUAGUUUUGUGUCCUUGAGUCUUGUUUAAUAUUUUUAAAUUAAUUUAGAAUAGAUUAGCAAUCCCUCCUAAUCCCCGGCCUAGAACGAUACCCUACUUACAUCUAUACUACAAUUGUCAAAAAGAGGGUUUAAUUUGUGUGUCAAGUAAUUUUCGCAUCAAUUCAUCAACUAAAACCAUAAGUAUUUAUAUGGUCCGCAUUUUGGUUAGAUUAGUCCACAUAUAUUCCCUUGAAUCCACUGUGAAAAAAAAAAGGUGAUUUCGUAUCUUUGGUAGGGAUGAUUUAGAAAUCAAAUUUCCCAAAAUGAGUGGGUUUUGGCAAAGUGUGCUUUUAGGCACAAGAUCCUUCCUUCGGGUAAGGAGAUGCGUCGUAGCAUCAUUGUGCGACCUAAGUGUCCCAAAAGGUCGUGCCAAAACAAGUAAACUGCUAAAUCACGAAGCUCCAGGCCAGCCACAUGUGGCGUGUUUCCAGUUGGGAGACAAUCCAUUGUCCCCAAAUCAAAAGUUCAGGCUCAUUUUUGGAGGUGGUGCAAAGAUAUUUCACUCUAUUUUCUUCAGUGGUUUCAUUUAUAAUCAUUGUCAUCUCGAAUAUCCUUAAAAACUCAACGUCAGGGAGAAUUUAAGGUCCCUUAAAUGGUGAUUCAAUACCAUUCAUACAACGAGGAGCGUGCCAAUGCUCUUAAUCAAGUUGGAUAGACCUGAAGUUGUUGUUAGAGAUGUGAUUUAGGUGUAAAGUUAGGGUGCGUAGUACACAUUCAUCCAGACAACUAACUUUCCCACAUUCCUACCUAAUCACGUGUUUCAUUGAAUCGGUCACAUGUAUUAAGAAACAUGAUUCAAUUAACUCAUAUUCGAGGACAAUAUCAAUAAGAUUAUCCGUAAGUAAAACAUACACCAAACUUGAAUCCAAGAACAUGGAAAAAUGUUCACAAAGUAAAUGGUUUACUAAGGGGAUUUGACCAACAAGGCCAUCCAUGUCAAAAUUCUACUCUUCCAACGAUGUUUGGUAGAGCAAAAUUAGUCUCACAUAUUGACUACUAAAAUGGUACUCCUUAACAACAUUGGCAGGGG